UGGGAUGCGAUACAGAAUUUCUCCUGUGUGUAGACUAUUUCGGAUCUUGUAUGUGUGUGUGUGUGUGUGUUUGUUGAAGAAAAUUUGGACUUAGAGGAACUGCGUGUGGGAGGUGUUCAGUGAUUGGGUGGUUCAUGGCCAUGGCUAUAGCGGUAGUGAUGCAGCCCACUGUCCUGUGCGGACUAUGUGUGAUGGGGGGCCUUGUCCUCUUCGUUGCCUGUUUUGUCCCCUCUCUCUCUUCCUUGAUCCCUAAGCAUUGCCAAGAAAGUGGAACGAUCUAACUUGUCUGCCUCUUUUACUUUAUAUCUCAGGACUAUGCUCUACCCAGUGUUGCAGGCUAUGGCACACGGAAUUUUCCAGUUCUCAGCAAGAAACCGAAAGGUUAUCAGUGUAGGUGUACAGAGCUUAGAGCAGGCCGGCGAAGCAAUUGUGCACCCAUAGUCAUAUCAGAGUCUCGACUGUACCCUUAGUAAAUUCUUACUACGUAUUCACUUCGAGAAUUGCAAUACAUCUGAGGUUCGGUUGUGCCGUGGUACCGGUGGUUGAACCUUCCAUCUCUCCCUCUGAGGUUGCUAGUUUCCAUCCCAUGAAUCCGAGUAUUCCAGGUUAAAGUGGGACCUCUGCCAGUUUCACGGAUAGGGCUAGGCAUCUGGUUUCCCUUCUUUAGGGAUUGGAAGAAGAUAUGGAUGCGGAGUUGCGGGAAGUUCUUACAGUUACAGACAACAAGAGCAUCAGUCUUUCCAAUACUACUGUUUCUUACCAAGCUAGAAAUCUGACUCAUCGAAGCGAAUUUCUGCUCAAAAAACUUAUCCACAGGUAUCCAGGUUUGUCGAGAAUUCCUUAAACAAGAACAGAAUGGACGCAGAAUGCCAGAGAUCACAGUUAAGCAUGCACAUCAGACAGACAAAUUAAUUCAUUGUAAACAACUCACUCUGAGCUUGACUUAUUACUGAACACACUGAAGCCGACUGCAAGGAGAGCUCAGAUUUGCUCAGGUAGAACUACAAUCCUGCGUCUGUUUUAAUGCCUUAAAACAACUAUUUUCAGCAACAAUUAUCAUAUUACAACAAUCAUCUUGUUCUUUUCUUAACCACAUUUGUUAUUGUUAACCUAGAUUGGAUGAACAACCCGUUAACUAUAUUCAUUUACAAGCUCUUUUGUCAAGAUUACCAUAAAAAGGAAUCUCUGGUCAACAAAUAUUUUACCGAAGAUUUUUUUAAGAUGUAUUUUUUUAAGAUGUAUUUUUUUAAAAUGUUAAUUGCCGUGUUUGAACCUUUCUUCUACAAAAAUUCAUAUGCGAACUUCAUACAUUAAUCUAACCUAGAUGUUUACCAUGACAACUGUUUUUUUUAUGAAGGAAAAUUUCUCACAGCUCUUUAAUAAAACAUGAAAGAAUGUUUGGAUUAAACUUGCUAUUCAAAAACUUCCCUUAAUGUAUGUAUCAAAGGAGGCGUUCUUACCCAUUUGUUGAAAAGGAGACUAGAAUUAAAACUAGGAAAUAAAACGUGGAGACUAGGAGACUAGAGAUAAAACGUAUAAACAUUUUAACCAUCGGUUUGUGCGAGUUGUAAACUUUAGAGUUUAAUAGUUAUAUUAUUAAAAAUAAGUACAAAUUGCAAACUAAUGUACUUGGUAUAGUAAAACAUUUGAUAAAUGAUUCUUUAUUAUGAUAUGAUCAUACCUUGGAAGUUUUGUAAACAAUAAUAAACAAAAAAACCAAGUUGUAGAGAAGAUUGCAAUCA
Physcomitrium patens is the source of this 1742-nucleotide long non-coding RNA. RefSeq lists it as uncharacterized. NCBI's taxonomy places the organism in Eukaryota, Viridiplantae, Streptophyta, Bryopsida, Funariales, Funariaceae. The record is from RefSeq and is a predicted model, not a curated record.